RNAcentral lists this long non-coding RNA (6378 nucleotides) under Homo sapiens (human). RNAcentral's name for it is "HSALNT0291016". The record is from RNAcentral. Lineage: Eukaryota; Metazoa; Chordata; Mammalia; Primates; Hominidae.
CCGGGGCUCUUUGACUGGGGGCGAGUCUUCGAAGUCGCCAGGCUCUGCCUAUCAACCGGGUCCUGAUUGGUGCAGGCUGUGGCGGUCCGCCCCUGACUCCGUCUAGCCCCGCUCCGCGAGAAGAGGCUGAACUGCCCCAUCUGCUUCUAAUUUCUUUCUUUCUUUCUUUCUUUCUUUUUUUCCCCUCUUUUCCUUUUCUUCUUUUAAAUAUACGUUUGGAAAUUUGCCGGGCGUGGUGGCGGGCGCCUGUAAUCCCAGCUACUCGGGAGGCUGAGGCAGGAGAAUCGCUUGAAUCCGGGAGACGGAGGUUGCAGUGAGCCGAGAACGCGCCACUACACUCCAGCCUGGACGACGAGAGUGAUACUCCGUCUCAGUCAAUCAAUCAAUCAAUCAAUCGUUUGAUUUUCGUUUUAUGCUUUUACUUCCAAAUUUAUAUUUAUUGCAAAAAAUGUGGAAUAUAACAAAGUGUAAAGGUGAAACUGAAAUAACCCGAAAUUAUAUUUCCCCCUCUGUGGUUUUUUUUUUUCCGUCUCUGUGUUUUUCAAUGUUUUUCAGGCCUUCUGUCUUGAGCUCGUAUUACUGCUGUUCACUGAUGUAUUGUAAAAGCGUAAAACCGGACGUGACCCAAAUGUCUAUCAAAGGAGACUGAUGAGAGAAAUAAACGGAUUUGUUCACACAACGGCUUCUACAGCAAAGAAACAGAAGGUAGCUCCAAGUGCUCUGAAAUGGAAAGAUGGAGUCUCCCUCUGUCGCCCAGGCUGGAGUGCAGUGGGGCUAUCUCGGCUCACCACAACCUCCACCUCCCAGGUUCAAGUGAUUCUCCUGCCUCAGCCUCUCGAGUAGCUGGGACUACAGGCACGUGCCACUACGCCCGGCUAAUUUUUUGUAUUUUUAGUAGUGACAGGGUUUCACCGUGUUAGCCAGGAUGGUCUUCAUCUCCUGACCUCGUGAUCUGCCUGCCUCGGCCUCCCAAAGUGCUGGAAUUACAGGCGUGAGCCACCACGCCUGGCCGAAACUCUUGAAAGUUUGUUUCUGUGAACAUUAUUGAUGCCUAAGAUGGGCCUGUGCUAUCCUUGUGGGGGUGUCGGUGUGUGUGAGAACAGAGCUGAGUAAUGGCCAAAAUCUGGCUGCCAGGAUCAGACAGGUGACAAGAGAGGCAAAUAUAAAUAGCUCAGAUAAGCAAAGACAUCCAAAAAUACUCUGACCCAGACACUUCCGGGCACAAAACUCUUUCUGUCUUGCAUUGUCCUGGUUGUACUUGGACAUGCGAUGGGUCAGAAUUUGGUUUACUUAAUAUAUAUUAUUCAGUCUUCUGGGUUUGAAGAAUUUACUAAGAUUUUAAAAUCUCCAAUUUAUGAUUUCCCUUGGAAAACAGGAAGUUCUGGUAACACUGAGACUGCAUUCGAGGGUCCCACAAACCAGACUUGGUUUCUCACUUCCCGUAACAGUAACGAAUGGAAGACUUGAUGAUUUACAUUACCUGCCUGGCCCCUGUAGCAACUUGAGUUCAAAACUGUUGGACAGGGUCAUGAUUCCUUAACAUGGUAUUCAAAGCUUCAUGAUUGGCUGGGUGCGGUGGCUCACAGUUGUAAUCCCACCACUUUGGGAGGCCGAGAUGGGUGGACCACUUGAGGUCCAGGUUCGAGACCAGCCUGGCCAACAUGGUGAAACCCCGUCUCUACUAAAAAUACAAAAAAAUUAGCUGGGGUGGUGGCAGAUGCCUGUAGUCCCAGCUAUUCUGGAGGCUGAGGCAGGAGAAUUGCUUGAAUCUGGGAGGCGGAGGUGGAAGUGAGCUGAGAUUGUGCCACUGCACUCCAGCCUGGGUGACAGGGUGAGACUCUGUCUCAAAAAAAAAAAAGGAAAAAAAAAAAAGCUCCUUGAUAGUCUUGUGCUUUCCCCCUUUCAUCUUUGUUUCCUUCCACUCUUGCUCACCCUUGCUCACACACACACUUCCUCAAGGUAAAAGUGUAAGGCAGGCAGAAUGAGACUUAACAACUAGCAUUUCUUAUGUCAUUAUCCAGCCUUUUCUAACUAACACAUUUGCUUGUUCACUCAUUAACUUGAGGCAUUUAUUUUUCUUGAUAAGACCAGGCCAAAGUCAGCCAAUUGGAUCAAACCAAAUGGAAUGGAGUGUCCAGAAGUAGAAAUUUUGCUGCUACAGGGUGUGUGCAACUUCACAUACAGCUCUUGCCCCUUAUUUCCUGUGUCUUUCCUGCUUGCUCACUCUGCUCCAGCUAUACUGGUCACUUUGUUGUUCUUUUAUUUCUUAUUUUAGACAGGUUCUUGCUUUGUUGCCCAGGCUGGUGUGCAGUUGUGCAAUCAUAGUUCACUGUAACCUCAAACUUCUGGGCUCAGGUGAUACUCCUGCCUCAGCCUCUGGAGUAACUGGGACUACAUCUGAAUGCCAUCAAAUCCAGCUACUUAAAAAAAUUUUUUUUUUUUAGGCCAGGCACGGUGGCUUACGCCUGUAAUCCCAGCACUUUGGGAGGCCGAGGCGGGUGGAUCACUUGAGGUCGGGAGUUCAAGAACAGCCUGACCAACAUGAAGAAACCCCAUCUUCACUAAAAAUACAAAAUUAGCUGGGCGUGUUGGUGUAAUUCCAGCUACUUGGGAGGCUGAGGCAGGAUAAUCACUUGAACCUGGAAGGUGAGGUUGCGGUGAGCCGAGAUUGUGCCAUUGCACUCCCGCUUAGGCAACAAGACUGAAACUCCUCUCAAAAAAAAAAAGAAGAAAAAUUUAAAGAUUUUGAGCUGGGCGUGGUGGCUCACACCUGUCAUCCCAACACCUUGGGAGACUGAGGCAGGUGUUUCCGUUGAGCUCAGGAUUAGGUUUUGGCUUAAGGGAAUAUUGUGGAUGAUUUGAUCUUUUAUCAAAGUUUGAGAUCACACAAACUUUCUUCCUGUCAGCAAUAAGGCUGUUUUGGUUUCUUAUCAUUCGUGUAGCAUUAAAAAUGCUACUCCAAUAAAGGCUGGAGUGCAGCGGCAUGAUGACUGAACUCCUGAGCUCAAGGGAUCCUCCCGCCUCAGUCUCCCGAAGUACUGGCAUUACAGGCGUGAGCCACUGCACCUGGCCAGCUUCAGACUUUUCUUGUGCAGCCUCCUCACCUCUCUUAGCCUUCUUAGAAUUGAAGAGAUUUAGGGCUUUUCUCCAUAUUCGGUUUUGCCUUAAGGGAAUGUUGUGGCUUGCUUGAUCAUCUAUCCAGAUAACUCAAACUUUCUCCAUAUCAGCAAUAAGGUUGUUUUGCUUUCCUAUCAUUUGUAUGUUCACUGGAGUAGCAUUUUUAAUGUCCUUCAAGAACUUUUUCUUUGUAUUCACAACUUGACUGGUGCAAGAGGCCUAGCUUUUGGCCUAUUUCUGCUUUCUUUUUUUUUUUUUUUUUUUUUUUUUUGAGACGGAGUCUCGCUCUGUUGCCCAGGCUGGAGUGCAGUGACACAAUCUUGGCUCACUGCAACCUCCACCUCCCGGGUUCAAGCGAUUCUCCUGCCUCAGCCUCCCGAGUAGCUGGGACUACAGGCGCGUGCCACCAUGCGUGGCUAAUUUUUGUAUUUUUAAUAGAGACGGGGUUUCACCAUGUUAGCCAGGAUGGUCUCGAUCUCUUGACCUCGUGAUCCGUCCGCCUCAGCCUCCCUAAGUGCUGGGAUUACAGGCGUGAGCCACCACGCCCAGCUGCGGAAGAGAUUUUAAAGCUCUCCACAUAUUUCAGUGUGCCACCUGUGCUAAGAACUACAACUUUAUUAUUUUAUUUUAUUUUACUUGUUUUUGAGUUGGAGUCUGGCUCUGUCGCCCAAGCUGGAAUGCAGUGGUGCAAUCUCGGCUCACUGCAACCUCCGCCUCCUGGGUUCAAGUGAUUCUCUUGCCUCAGUCUCCCAAGUAGCUGGACAGGUGUGCGCCACCAUGCCUGACUAAUUUUUGUAUUUUUAGUAGAGACGGGGUUUCACCACAUUGGCUAGGUUGGUCUCAAACUCCUGACCUCAGGUGAUCCGCCUGCCUCGGUCUCCCAAAGUGCUGGUAUUACACAUGUGAGGCAUUGCGCCCGGCCUGAGAACUACAACUUUAGACUUACUGUUGUGAAAAUCUCAAACUAGCCUCUAUUGCAAACAUGUGUUUGCAUCAUAUAGGCAUGCAUAGACAUGCUGACGGGGUUUAUGUUACAGCCAAAAAGCUAAUGCCAACACCAACCGCUGGCACUUCUAUAUUUACUUCCAGGAGCCCUUGCCUUUACCACCCAUACCCCGCUACCCAUGUACCUCCCACUCCCCCAGAUUGAGGAGGGAGCUAGCUAAUAGGCAACUGAAGCACUGGAUUGGAACUGCAACUCAAGGUUGUGGGAGCAAGAGUUCUGAAGUGAAGACCUUGAUCAGCACAAACCUGAUCAUGUGACCUUGUGAAAGUUACUUCACAAUUCCCUGCUUCGGUUACUAUGGUUAUAAAAUUAAACUAAUGGAAUGGAUCUAUUUGCUAAAAAUAUGAGAUUUAAUGAGCAAAUAAUUUUAAAGUGCUCCAUUAAUUCUGCGAUUGUUAAAUAACUUCACUGCAUAAAAUUCUAUAGAACUCUUUCAAAUAUAUAAAAAAAAGCACCCCAAUGAUUCUUUUUUUUUUUGGAAACAGGGUCUCACUCUGUUGCCUAGGCUGGAGUACAGUGCCAUGAUCACAGCUCACUUCAACCUCAGCCUCCCAGGUAGCUGGGACUGCAGGCCUGUACCGCCAUUAUUAUUAUUAUUAUUAUUAUUUUGUAUUUUCUGCAGAAAUGGGGUUUGGUCAUGUUACCCAGGCUGGUCUCAAGCUCCUGGGAUCAAGUGAUCCGUCCGCCUUUGCCUCCCAAAGUGCUGGGAUUACAGCGGGGAGCCACUGCGCCCAGCCCAGCCAGCCCGAUUCUGACCCAGAGGGUUUAGAAGUUGCUUAGACAGAUCUGCUCCUACGGAGUCUUGCUCUGUUGCCCAGACUGGAGUGCAGUGGUGCGAUCUUGGCUCACUGCAACCUCCGCCUCCCGGUUCAAGCGAUUCUUCUGCCUCAGCCUCCCGAGUAGCUGGGACUACAGGUGCCCGCCACCAUGCUCAGCUAAUUUUUGGAUUUUUAGUAGAGACGGGGUUUUACCAUAUUGGCCAGGCUGGUCUCGAACUCCUGACCUUGUGACCCACCCACCUCGGCCUCCCAAAUUGCUGGGAUUACAGGCAAGAGCCACCGCGCCCUGCCGAGAAUUUGCAUUUCUAACAAGUUCCCAGGUGAUGCUGACACUGCUGGCUCAUGGAACCACUGCUGUAGUAUUUUCCAAAUUAUCCUGAUUCUAAGAACCACCUAUGACCUGUGCUGUUUUUUCAGUGGUUACUGGCUCAUGUCACAUAAAUUCUUUUAGGAUUCAAACAUGUUUGUGAUAUUACUCAGUAUUUACAUCUUGCUUUUACUGCAGCAUGAUAGAAAAAUUAACCACAGGUAUAUCAUAACAAAAAGACCAUGAGUUACCAUUUUCACAAAGUUCAGAUAUAUUUAAAUUAGCCUAUUUAAUCUUUUUUUGGUUGUUGUUGAGAUGGAGUCUCACUCUGUCUCUCAGGCUGGAGUACAGUGGCACAAUCUCAGCUCACUGCAACCUCUGCCUCCCAGGUUCAAGUAAUUCUCCUGCCUCAGCCUCCCGAGUAGCGGGGAUUACAGGUGCCCAACACCACACAUGGCUAAUUUUUGUAUUUUUAGUAGAGAUGGGGUUUUGCCAUGUUAGCCAGGCUGGUCUUGAACUCCUGACCUCAGAUGAUCCGCCUGCCUCGGCCUCUCAAAGUGCUGGGAUUACAGGCAUGAGCCAUCGCACCCAGCCUAUGGUACACCUUUACUGAGGAAACAAUUCAGGAACAUCACUCUUAGUAAGGCAAUUGUUGAUUAUAAGUCAAAAAAACACCAUCAUGUACAAAUUCAGGGGAUUUUGUAUACCUUGUUUUUUUGGUUACAAAUAUGCAAAAUUAAAGAUGUUUGCUAAUACUUGUUUCCAAUUUUUAAACUUUUCAAGUGUUGCACUGUUAAUAAUGUUAAAAUAAAAGGCAUUUGACUUAGUAUGAUUGUUUCUUGAACUUCAUCUUUUCAGGUUAUUUUGUUGCUGGCCACUUGCAAGAUUUAUAGGCACUACUGAGGCCUCAGUGCUGAGAUUCAGCAACAUUAUAAUCAUUAUAAUUCAAAGUUUAGUUUUUUGUUUUUUGUUUUUUUUUUUAAAGAGAUGGGGUCAAAAUGCUGCCCAGGCAUGUCUGGAACUCCUGGGCUCAAGCAAUCGUCUUGCCUCAGACUGCCAAGUAGCUGAACUGUAGGCACAUACCACACCUGGCUGUGUUCAGUUUCAUGGGCAAGUCAAACUAUCUAGUGUUUUGUCUGUACAGACAAGGUCAAUGCGACUUCUCCAAG